UUUUUUUUUUUUUUCUGUUUUUUGUUUUUUUUUUUGUAUAUUUUGGUAAAUAAAAAAAAGUUAUAAUAUUUUGGUUUUUUUAUUUUUUUAUAAUAAUUUUGUAAAAAACCCUCCCUCUUCCCUUUCAAAUUUCGUUUCCAAUUUUCUUUCAGAAUUCGAAAUUCACAAUUCCCAUGGGUAAAAUUUCCUUUUGCUCGUCUACUUCAUUACAUUCAGGGUGAAAUCAGAAAAUUUGUAGGAGGAGUCGAAAUUAAAUUGUAAUUUUUAAUAGUUUAAAUUUUUAUAAUUUUUAAAAGAUUAAAUAAAAAAUUUAUCAUUUUUAGGAGGUUAAAGUACAAUUUUAUUUUUACUAAUUUAAAAUUUAAAAAUUUCUAAAAAAUCUAAAUGAACAAUUUUUUUAUUUUAAGGGGCCCGAGUACUUACCAAUUCCACUAAUCACACUCCACUAUAUACCCAAAACCUUAAAAACUUCAACACUUGACUUAGCUCCAUUAGUGUGCCAUCCCAUCCCUCUCUUCUUCUAACUGUAUAACGAAAUCAACCAAUUUCCAUAACACGCAAAUAUAUUGUUGAAGUGCAAACCUUCUAUAACCCCUGUCAAUGGCCAAUCAUUUACCGCAUUCCGUAAACAAAUUAUAAAGCAAAUCUUAUAAAACAAGAAAACUGACUCAAGAUUUACCAAGAUUAAAAAAAAAUACGUAAUUAUAAAUUUGGUCACUAAUAUUUAUAUGUUUUAUUAAAAUAGUCUUAAUUAUAUUUUUGAACCUUUUUUUAGCUAUCAACUUUUAAUUUUUAUUUUCAAAUUGCUUCUUCUAACAGAUUUAAUGAAUAAAUUCAAUGUUUCAAUCUUUUUUCUUUCAGAAGGUUUCGAUCAUUCAUACGUUUGUUUACUGAUAGGUUUUUCUACUAAGUUAUUUUUUUUAGAUAAUUACGUUUAUUUUCUUUAAAUUAAGAGUUAUUUUUUUAAUUUCAUGUAUUAUUUUAUUAUUUUUCACAUGUAAUUAUCCUAUAGGGUUAUUUAAGUAAUAAAUUACAUUACAUUAAAAAUAUUUCACAUAGGAAAUUCAACAUCAUCCCAGUUAACUUUUUUAACGGUACUUUCAUUAAAUUUAUUAGAAAAAAUAAUUUGAAAAAAAAACAAACGUUAAUUACAAAAAAAAUCUCAAAAAUACAAUUAGAGUCACUUUAACAAAAUAUACCAACAUUAGUGCCUAAAUUUGUCAUUAAGCCAAAAAAAAAAAAACUAAAGGAAAAUCCCAAACAAGGCACACAUUCAGAAAGUUGAAAACUCAAGAAAUUAAAGGAAAACAAAUCCAAAACCUACUCUCAUAAAAGAGAAACAAACUUUGAAUAAUAGAAACUCUCAGACUUGAGAGGUUGCUUUUCAACUCAACUUAAUUCAAAUAUAAAAAACACUAAUUUUGCCAUUAAUCUUUGUGGUAUGUAAUUUAGUUAGUUAUUGUAUUUUUAAAAUUUAAAAUUUUAAUGUUAGGUCCAAAUUAGAGCAAUAAACCUGUUAGAUUGAAUUUUAUUAUUAGUGUCAUACGGAUUUAAUUAUUAUUUUUUAAUUUGAUAUUUUUAGAUAGUUUUUGAAUUUUAAAAUUUUAGUAAAAUAAUUUAUAAGUCCAUUAAUUAAAAUAAUAUGACUUUUUUUGUGAGUAUUAUGUAGAAAUAAUAAGCCGAUAUGACAUUACACAUGUGAUAUUACAUUUACCGUGUAAUAUUUUGGAAAUAACAAAAUUUAACAACUACCAAUUAAGUCAAUACUAAAUUUUUAAAAAGUAAGGUACAUAAAUUAAAUCUACGACUUACGUAUAGUAUAAGGAUUGAUGACAAUCCACAACUUAAACCCACAUCCUUCUAUCAACUCACGCACCACUCUUGCCCUCCUCCCUUUCGAAACUAACUCCUCCCUCGUCUUCACCCCCUUAGAAAUUCCCGUUUUGUUUCUAAAAUUCAUCUUACUGCUACCCGCACCAGAACUAAAAUCACCAAACUUCCUGAUAUUAACUCUCAGAUGCAGCCCAUAUUUCAAACAAAGACUCCCCUCUUCCACCAAUAGCGGAGCAUCUUCACAAGAUCUAACAAUAUGACCUAGAGAACCACAAAAAUAACACAAGUCGAUAAGCUUUUUAUAGCAACAAAUUUGAUUAAAAAAUUAACAGUAUUAACAAUUGAACCUAAAUUUUGAAAUCUAAAAAGUAAAUGGGCUAAAUUCUUAAAAAUAAAAAUAUAAAAAUUAAAUUUCGAAUUUGUAAAAUGUACAUAGACUUAACACAUAUUUUAACCUAACAAAAAAUAUAUUUAAUAAUUUGGGACACAUUCCAUCCCGGCCGUCAAUGUACAUAUCUAUACAACUAUACAUAAGAGGAAGGCCCUAAAUCUCUUUACUUUUUAGAUUAUAAGAAUAAUUAAAUUUGAUCCUUAAAAUUCGCUCAAAUUUGAUAUUUAGUAUAUAUACUUUAAUUUUGACAUAAUUUAAUGUCUCAGCUUUUAUAAUGUUAUUAGUUAGUUUAAAUACUUUAUUCUAAUUAAUAUGACAAUGUGAAUUUUUAAGAAUUAUUAGCACUGUUAAGAUUUUAUUAAAUUAAGGUUCGUUAAAAUGUUUUUUUUAAAUGGAUAUCAAUUUUUUUUUAAAUAUCACACCAACACAAAAUAACUCUAACAAUGUUAACAAAUUUAAAAUUUUAAAUUCGAAAAAAAGAGAUUAAAUUUUUAAAAAUAAAAAUAUAAAGAUUAAAUUUUAAAUAUACGAAAAGUAUAAAAACUUUGAACAAAUUGUAAAUCCAAUGCUAAGUGUGGGUGAAAACAAUACUAAAAUAAUAUAAAAAUAUGAAUUAAAAUAAUAAUACGAAUAAUAUUUUGAAAAAAAUAAAUGGGCGGCAAAAUUUCCCACCAAAAAUUGUCAGCGAAAAAAAAACCGUUGGUUUUUUAACUGUAUAAACUACUUUCUUUUUUGUCUUCAAAGUUCAGACAGCCAAUCAGGUCCUUCUACGUCUUUCGCUUGAUUCGUGGAUUAUGGAAAUAAUUUUGGGAAUACAUUUUAUUCUAAAUUUUGUAUAAAUAAAGCUAUGCAAAAUCGGAGAAAAAAAAUUACAGUUUAAAAUGGUUAUUUUUAACCACAAAAAAAAGGAAAGGAUUACAAAAUUUUGAAAAUAAAAAAUAAAAAAAGUCACUCAUUUUCUCUCUAUUGUCUUUCAUUGAUAUCGAUCUCGUCAAUUUUUUCGAGCUAUCAAUUUCGAAGAAGAUUUUAUGGGUACACUUCCGCUUAUUACUUUUUCUUUAAAAAGACUGUGAUUUCUUGUUUUUUUUUAUUUGAUUUAUAGCUGUUUUUCAAUGAUUCGUUUCUUUAUUUCAUGAAUUAAUUAUUAUGUGCUUUGCUUUCUUUGUUGAAUUUCUGUAAAAUGAAGGGGAGAAGAGCGUUAAAAGCAUGCAAUUGUUCCUUAAUGAUUGAAAAUUUAGAUUUAUUUUUUUUUGGUUUUCAACAGCUUCUUUUAAGUAGUAACUGUGAUGUUAUUGCAUGUUUGGUUUCUGAGAAAGCAAAGGAAAAUGAGAAGGAAAAAAAGAAAAAGAAAAAGAAGGAUAAUCGGGUUUUGAAUUUUUGUGAUAUAAAGGGGAGGAGAGCGUUAAAUCAUGCAAUGUUUCCUUACUGGUUGAAAUUUAGAUUUAAUUUAUUGUAUAUAUAUAUUUUGGUUUUCAACUAAUUCUUUAAGUGUUCAACUGUGAUGUUUGGAUCGUACCAGAGAACAAAAAUUAUGUUUAUUGAAUGUUUGACUGCCAAGAAAGCUAAGGAAAAAGAGAGGGAAAAAAAAGGAUAGUCGGAUUUUAAAUAUAUGUAAUACAAAGGGGAGGAGAGCAUUAAAAGCAUGCAAAGCUUCCUUAAUGAUUGAAAAUUUAGCUUUAAAUUUAUUUACUUUUUGGUUUUCAACAGUUCCUUUAAGUGGUGGAAAUCUGAAAUUUUAUUGUGAUGCUUGGAUUAGUAGCGGAGGUUAAAUGUAUGUUUACUGCAUGUUUGAUUGCUGAGAAAGCUAAGGAAAAUGGAAAAAGAAAAAAAAAGGAAAAUCGGAUUUAGAACCAUCAUUUCUUUAGCCACGUAAUACAUGAGAUUUCUCUGUCAAAAUCAAUGAAUAUACUAUUUGUUUUGUGGUAUUCUUCGAUAUCUUGUCUUUGAGCAAUCGAUAUGGAUCAUUUAGUUUUAAAAUUAACAAGGAAAAAUGGUAUUAUAUAUGGAAGCUUUUCCAUCAAUUCGCUUAUGGAUGCUAUAAAAAUGUCGCUACUCAGCUGAGAGUGAAGAAUGUUGUUCAACUCAAGUUAUCAACGGAGAUGGUUCAUUCAAUGAUGAGGGAAUUGAUCAUUUUGUCAAGGAAAUAAAACUUGCUGAAUGUGGGUUGUCAUAUGCUGUGGUUUCCAUCAUGGGACCGCAAAGUAGCGGUAUGCUUCGAUAUCUUCAUGAAAUCCUGCUUUUCAUGCUUAUACUUGCCUUGUUCCUAAGAUGUAUAUUCCUACUAAGCUGCUUCAUAUUUUUUUGUUUGUACAUUUGGUUUAAUAAUAUUGAAUUCAAUAUGUGGGAUACAAGUUAGCAUGAUUAGCUGGAAGUUGGGUCACUUCAAUUUUCGACAUCUCAUGUUGAAAUGGCCUUGCUUCUUCAUGUUUUUGUUGGAUUACUUCUGUUAGUGAUAUCAAGGUAUGCCUUUGGCCUUGUGUCUUACUGCUAGACCGCAAAAGCAACUUGGAUCAUUUCAGGCGAGGUGAUUUGAUUAGGUGCAUGGCUGGUGCGCCUAGGCUUCCUUUUUAUUAAAGCAACAGAAAUAAAAGGCCCGAAGUUCUCUUCAAUUUCUUUGUUAUUUUAACCGUUUUCAUUAGAUGUAUCUUUACCACUAAAGCAACGGAUAGCAUUGAACUCUUCACUUCUUAAUAUUUGAGUAUUUAACAAUAUCAUGCAUAUUGUUGGCCAACCAAAAAAAAUGAUUGUUUCGUAGAUAAAAUGAUCACUCUCUAGAGUUUAUUACCAUAAUUAUAUGUCCUAAGCUUAUUAUAUAUACACACAGAUGGACGCACAUCUACAUAUUGCGUGCUUUUUUUUGUGCCUUGUACUCGAGGCAAUAAAAGGGUUCUAGUGCCUACCGUGCGCCUUGCACCCUUGACAACACUGACUUCUAUAAUUAGUUUUAGAUAUUUGUUAUAUCAUUAUUUUUAUUGGUUCAAAUGAUCAGAGAUUUUAUUUAUUUCGUGUUUUAUCAUUAUAUUGUAGUUAUAUAAGUUCUAGUUGUGUCAGAUACCGUUUCACUUAGUUUUCAAUGAUCAUGACAGGUAAAAGCACACUGUUAAACCAUUUGUUUCACACAAAUUUCAGGGAAAUGGAUGCAUUUAUGGGAAGGUCAGUUAUGUUGCUCUUUAAUAACAACUGCUUUUGUUUCAGUUGGCUCAAAAACAACUAAUGGGAUUCUUGUCAGGUCUCAAACCACUAAAGGUAUUUGGAUAGCAAAAUGCGCUGGUCUAGAGCCUUGCACCCUAGUAAUGGAUUUGGAGGGCACCGAUGGAAGAGAACGUGGAGAGGUGCUUUUGUUAAAAUUUCUGCAAUGAUGAUCUAGAAUAGGUUAUAUUUAUUCAAUAGCCUUUACCCUAGGAUAUGAUUAAUAUAUAUUAUAUGUGAAAUUGAUGAAAUCAAACAGGCCAUUAUUAAAGAGUAAAUUUAAUUUACAGUGGGUUUUUAGUUAAAAGAAUCCUCAGUAAUUUUCGAACAGAGUUAUUGCUGGUUUAAUAACAUCAAGGCUAGAGUGACGAAUGAAACUGUACUGAAUAAUAGUUGGAAUCCAGAUAAUAAAAGUUGAAUAGGAAGUGUUUUAUCUCUGUGCAUUUUUGUUUCUUGCUCUUUUACAUAUAAAUUUUUUGUAUUAUUCCAGGAUGACACAGCAUUUGAGAAACAAAGUGCGCUUUUUGCACUGGCAGUUUCAGAUAUAGUACUGAUAAACAUGUAACUUUCGGCACUUACAUGAUGCUUGAUAUAAUUUGCACCUUCAUUGAAGGACUUAUUGCUAUCUGCAGUAUGUACAAGUAAUAUUCUUGAGCAACUUCCAUUUAGGUGGUGUCAUGAUAUUGGUCGCGAGCAAGCAGCUAAUAAACCUCUUUUGAAAACUGUAUUCCAGGUAUUCACAAUAUUGUUUCCCUUUCUAAGCAGUGCGCUGAAUUCAUGUGGUUAUGUGAUUUAAUUGGUUGUACUGGUUGCAGGUCAUGAUGCGAUUGUUUAGUCCCCGCAAAACGACUUUGAUGUUUGUCAUACGCGAUAAAACUAGGGUGGGUAGAUUUUUUCUUAAUGGAGAGCAUUUUGCGUUUAGAGAGCUAUUAUUAUUCAUCAUUUUCAUUUAACGAUUUCGUAUUUCGAUUGAGUUUAUGGUUACUUAAAGAUUUCUUGCUUACAGACACCACUGGAACAUUUGGAACCUGUUCUGAGAGAAGAUAUCCAGAAGGUAUAAAUAUGCGGAUCCUAUGCCUCCUUGCUUUUCUGAUUAACUUCAGAAUGUUUUCUUUUGACCCGAUUUUCUUGAAAUGCAGAUAUGGGACUCAGUUCCUAAGCCAGAAGCACAUAUGGAAACUUCAUUAAGUGAAUUUUUCAACGUAAGAUAUUGGGUUUGGUUUCUUGCAACAAAAGUGUAAAUGUCUCUCCCUAUACAUUUUCUAUGAGAUUACUUCUGAUAAUUUAAUGCUAUUGCUGAUAAUACACAGGUUGAGGUUGUUGCACUUUCUAGUUAUGAAGGAAAGGAAGAGCUGUUUAAGGAGCAGGUAACCUGUUUGUAUUUGGGUCAUCUCAUGCAUUCAGUAUUCAUUGCAUGCUAAAAAAACCAUGUCUGCCUACCAUUUAUAAAUUUGCAUGUAAGUUGGAUGAUGGUUCUGAAACUUUUGACUAAAUGGCAUGCAAAUUGACAGUUUAUCUUCCUAUUUAUUAUAUUACUGAAGGUGGCUAAUUUGAGACAACGAUUCUUCCACUCUAUUGCACCCGGGGGGAUUGCAGGAGAUCGGAGGGGAGCAGUACCGGCUUCAGGGUUCUCUUUUAGUGCACAACAUAUCUGGAAAGUCAUUAAGGAGAAUAAGGACCUUGAUCUUCCAGCCCAUAAGGUGACCUUUAGGACAUAUUUAACUUGAAUGAAAUUUGUAAUUAUUGUUGCCUUUUUUGUUAUCCAUGCUUCAUUUGCUUUAGGUCAUGGUGGCUACGGUACGCUGUGAAGAAAUUGCCAGUGAAAAGUACACUAGUUUUACAUCAAAUGAGGUAUUUGUACAUGUAAGUAAGCAUUUAAUUCAUAAACAUUUGUAUGCUUACCAACCUACUACUUCAUAUAACAGAAUUGGCAUUCGUUGGAAGAAGCUGUAAAAUCUGGUCCCGUUGCUGGCUUUGGGAAGAAGCUAAAUUCAAUUCUCUACACUUCUCUAUCAGAGUAAGACCACUUAAUGAGAUUGAGAUGAUUGUUUCAAUGUUGAAGUUAUAAGUAGGCUACUAUCUAUAUAAGCAUUUGGAUGAGCUGAGCUUAGGCAAAGACCUGUUGGUUAUUGGUUUUUCCCUGGCUUACUACCAUAUCAGUGAUUGAGUUUCUUGUUCUAUUUUGUUCUGAUUUUAGAUAUGAUGCAGAAGCCACAUAUUUUGAUGAAGGUGUGAGAUCUGCAAAGCGAAAGCACCUUGAAGAAAAACUGCUCCAAGUAAGAGCAUUCUAUAGUAUUCUUGACCAAUUAGUGUCCGUUAUUAAUUUUUCUCAUCUCAUUUGCCUUGUCUUAUGAUUUAGCUUGUCCAACCAGCCUACCAAUCCAUGCUAGGACAUUUAAGGAUCGAAACUCUUGAAAAAUUUAAGGAAGCAUUUGAUAAGGCUUUGAAAGGAGAUGAGGGGUUCUCAGUGGCUGCUUGCAAGUGCAUUAAAACUUACAUGGCUUCAUUUGAUGCAGGAUAUGCAGGUAUUGAAAGUUUUCAAGAAAACAUUUAAUAAAACUGUUCUGUCUUUUAUUAACUAAACUACUAAAUUUAAAUAGAGAAAAUAGUCAACCUAAUUGGAAAAAUAAUUCUCUUAUUCUAAUAAAGUACUAAAAGAUAAGGAAAAUAAUUCUCUUAUUCUAAUAAAUUACUAAAAGAUAAAAUAAAAUAUUCCUAGAAUAUCUCAAAUGAUUUAUUCUAAGAUUUAUCUACCUCAAAAACUUUAAAAUUUAUGCAAAAAAUAUAGGGGUUUCACAUAUUUCAACACUCUCCCUCAAGUUGGUGCACAUAUAUCAAUCAUGCCCAACUUGCUUACAAGAAAAUCAAAGCUUGUCUUAGAGAGCCAUUUGGUGAGUAUGUCAGCAAUCUGUUGUUUUGAAGAAACAAACGACAUGCACACUUGGUUUUCUUCAAUAUUCUCAUUGAUAAAGUGUAUCAAUCUCAACAUGUUUAGUUUUGUCAUGCUGGACUGGGUUGUGAGCAAUACUAAUGGCAGCUUUGCUAUCACAGUACAACUUCAUUGGUGAAGUUAUUGAUUUCCUCAACUCUUCCAUAAUUCUUUUUAACCACAUCAUUUCACAAAUUCCUUGAGCCAUUGAUCUAAACUCAGCCUCUGCAUUACUUCUUACUACAGCAUUUUGUUUUUUACUUCGCCAAGUCACAAGGUUUCCCUAAACAAAUGUACAUAAUCCUGAUGUAGAUAUUCUAUUUGUUAUUGAGCCUGCCCAGUCUGCAUCUGUAUAAGCUUCAACUCCUCUUUGUUUGGAUUUCUUGAAGAAUAAGCCUUUUCUAGGUGAACUCUUCAAGUAUCUCAGAAUCCGAAACACUACUUCUUCAUCUUCCUCCAUUGGGGUGUGCAUAAAUUGACUUACUAAGCUCACUGCAAAAGCUAUGCUUGGCCUUGUAUGUGAUAAGUAAAUUAACUUACCGGCUAAUCUUUGGUACUGCCUUUUAUCAACUAAUCGACCUUUAUUUUCAAAUUUUACAUUUGGAUCAAUUGGUGUGUCAGCUGGGCGACAACCACUCAUCCCAGCCUCUUUUAAAAGAUCAAUCACAUAUUUUUUCUGAGAGACCACAAGACCCUUCUUUGAUCGAGCAACUUCCAUUCCAAGAAAGUAUUUCAAAGAACCCAAGUCUUUGAUCUCAAACUCCAAUGCUAGAUGCUCCUUGAGACGCCUUAUGUCAUCCACAUCAUCUCUUGUAAGAAUGAUAUCAUCGACAUAAACUAUAAUAACUGCUAUUCUACCUCUUUGUGAGUGUCGAUAAAACAUUGUGUGAUUAGCUUGCCCUUGUGAGUAAUCUUGUUUUUUAACAACUUGAGUGAAUCGAUCAAACCAAGCUCGAGGAGACUGCUUUAGACCAUAUAAAGAUUUCCUAAGCUUACAUACUCGAGUUCCAAAUUUUUCUUCAAAACCUGGAGGAUCCAUGUAAACUUCUUCUUCAAGUUUCCCAUUUAGGAAAGCAUUCUUCACAUCUAGCUGCUGUAAGGACCAAUCAAGAUUAACAACAAUUGAUAAAAGAACUCUAACAGAAUUUAAUUUGGCUACUGGAGCAAAUUUUUCAAGAUAAUCUAUCCCAUAUGUUUGAGUAUGCCCUUUAGCCACCAGUCGAGCUUUGUAUCUAUCUAAAGAUCCAUCCAGUUUGAAUUUGGUUGUGAACACCCAUUUACAGCACACAGAUUUUUCCCUACAAGUAAUUCCACUGUUUUCAUGUGCCUGUUUUUUCAAGAGCGCGCAUCUCUAAAAUAGCCUUCUUCCAGUCAGGAACCUGUAAAGCAUCUUUCACAUUUUUGGGUAUUUUCACAGUAUCGAGACACGAAACAAAGGCUGAAAAUGUCGAAGACAAGGCUUUAUAAGACACAAAGUUAGACAUGAGAUAUUUGACAACAUUUCUAACACCUUUUCUUUUAGCAAUUGGAAUAUCUAAAUCAGAAAAUUCAUUAGUUGGAUUAUGAGCUUACCUGAACUUUUGACAAGAUCUUACGGGUCGGAUUCUUGGUGAUGAAUCUGGUGGAUUCCACUUUCUUGAUUUCGAUUUCUUUUUGAGUAAACAAUUAACUCCUUUGUUUAUUCUUUAUUCUCAUGAUCAGACUCAACACCUUCAUACUCCUUUUCAUUAACAACAUUAACAUCAUUAAUUUCUGUAUUAAUCAUAAAUUCACCUUCCCCAUUAUUAGAAUCUUUAUGUUGUAUAUUCCUAGUGUUUUCUUGAUCAAUUAUAGAAUCUUCCUUACUAUAAUUUCCUCCCUGAAAAUUAGAAUCAAAGUAAGAUUGUGUUUUAACAAAUGUGACAUCUAUGGUAACAAUAAUUUUCCUAUCAAUUGGAUCAUAACAUUUGUAACCCUUUUUUAUUAGAAGUAUAGCCAACAAAGACACAUUUUUUUACUCUAGGAUCUAGUUUACAUUGGUUGUGAAUAUGAACAAAAACACUAUACCCAAAAACUCGAAAGCAUAAAUCUGUGAUCAUUUUAGAGUUAGGAAAGUUAUCUUUAAAGAGACGGAAAGGAGUUUUAGAGUUUAGAGUUUUACUAGGCAUUCUAUUAAUAAGAUAUGUAGCUGUUAACAAGGCUUCGCCCCAAAGAUAAUGUAAUACCUGACUAGUGAACAUCAAGGCUCUAGUUACUUCCAAAAGAUGUUGGUUUUUUCUUUCUGCAACCCUAUUUUGUUGUGGUGUAUUUGUAUAAGAGCUUUGGUGGACUAUAUCAUGUUUGGUUAAGAAAACACCUAAUUGGUCCCUAAAAAAUUCUCCACCAUUGUGAAUCUAAAGUACUUUUAUUCUCACACCAAAUUGUGUUUUCACCAUAGCAUAAAAAGACUGAAAUACAUUUUUAACUUCAGAUUUAUCUUUUAAUUAAAACACCUAACAAAUGCGAGUAUGAUCAUCAAUAAAUGUGACAAACCAAUGUUUUCCUCAAAAAGUUGAGACUUUCGAAGGUCCCCAAACAUCACUAUGAAUUAACGAAAAAGGUUUGUAAGUUUAUAUUUUUGAGGUGGGAAGAAUGACCGAUGAUGUUUAGUCAAUUCACAGUGAUAUGAAGGACUUUUAUUUUUAAAUAGAUCAGGUAACAAAUAUCUUAAAUAGUAAAAAAUAGGAUGUCCAAACCUAUAAUACCAAAUCAUAACCUUAUCAAAACUAGAAGCAGAAUUUAAACAUAAAGUAGUUGCUGAUUGACUUAGAUAGUCGUCGUCAAGAAAGAAAACUCCACUAGAUUCUUUAGCACUGCCAAUCAUCCUCCUCGAGACUAUGUCCUGAAAUUUACACAGAGGAGUCAAAUAUAACAUGAGAAUUCGAGGACUGAGAUAAUUUACUAACCGAUAUGAGAUUACAAGUUAAAUUUGACACAUGUAAAACAUCAUGUAAAACCAAGGAAGGCAAAAUUUUAACAGUGCCUUUCCCGGCUAUUGUCGAGAACGACCCAUUUGCUACUUUGAUUUUUUUUCCUGCACAAUGUGUGUAAGUUGAAAAAAGAAAAUGACUACUAGUCAUGUGAUCACUAGCUCCAGAAUCAACGAUCCACGUGUUUGUUUUACAAGGCUUGACACUGAAAAAAAUAAAAAAUUCAAUACCUGAUUGGGCAAAGGAGGAAGAAGGAUUAUUGGAUGAGUUAGGAACAGAAUAAUUCAUCCGAAAUUAUGAUGAUUGAAAAAGCUUGUGUAAAUGCUCUAAUUGUUCUUUAGUGAAUGAAGACCCUUCUAGAAUACUUUAGCCCUCAUAAUCUUCAUUAGUUGUUUCAACAGUAAAACUUUCUUCCUCUGUUUGAUUGUUGGAUCUAUUAUUUCUAGUGAAGGUUGUUUUAACCAUAAUGCUACUAGAGAUUUAACCUAGCUCUGAUACCAUGAAAGUUUUCAAGGGAGCAUUUAAUAAAACUAUUCUGUCUUUUAUUAACUAAACAACUAAAUUUAAAUAGAAAAAAGAGUCAUAACUUAAUUAGAAAAAUAAUUCCCUUAUUCUAAUAAAUUAGUACUAAAAGAUAAGGAAAAUAAUUCUCUUAUUCUAAUAAACUACUAAAAGAUAAAAUAAAAUACUCUUAAAAUAUCUCAAAUAAUUUAUUCUAAGAUUUAUCUACUAAAUAAGAUUUAUCUACCUAAAUAACUUUAAAAUAUAUGCCUAAAAUAUAGCGAUUUCACAUAUUUCAACAGGUAUGAUUGAACUUCAUAAUCAUUCUCUGAGUUAUAAACCAAAGUUACAAAACAUAAGUUCAAGAGGUUUGAAAUGGGAAAGAGUUCAUUAAAAAGUUUUAUUUGGCAAUAAAUAAGUCAUUCAAGGAAAAUUGAGUUUUUAGCUUGUAAGUGUUGAAGUUGCUGAAAAGUUGUUUGUUUAGUUGCGACUUGUGAAACAAUUGAAAACUGAAACAAUAAACAAUGGACACAGACAAUUGUUUAUGCAGUUUGGAUUCAAUCCUAAUUCAAUCCUACCUCUGCGAGGCCUUAUCCAAAAACUAAAUCACAAUAUUUUUUGUGAUACAAGGGAAGAUUUAAGUCCAACCACACCCAUAAAUGUUGCAGCCUCACUCCCAUAUAAUUACAAUCCACACAUCUAAUGUAAAUAGCAGCCUCAAUAUAUAGAGAUUUCAGUUCGGGUGCAUCCAACUAGUAGAAUCAAAUCAAAUCUCUAGAAUUUUGCCCAUAUCCAUUAUCUUACAUAUAUAUAUAUAGCCUUUACAUUCAUGACAUUUAAUGUUUUUCUUCUUUUCUUUGACACUCUUCUUUAACAACAUAUUCUCCUUUGCUUUUGUUUAAGCCAUGACCUCCAUCAUUCCUGGUGUUUCUCCUUGAAAGUUUUAUGAAGGCUUGAUUUAAAUUUUUAGUAAGAAGAACUAGCUGCUUCUAUAGGUCCUCAAUGGUAAUUUCUUCACAAGUUGCAACUAGAGAUGUGACAUUCAGAGCAAUGUUUUUCUCUGAAUCCCUUUGAAUUCCUCUAAAUUCAUUUUAAAUAUUUGAAGUGACCCAAGCAACUUAUAUGUUUUUAUAGUAUUGAUAUCCUUGGCUUCUUCAGUGAUUGUUACUUUGAUUCAAAUCUUUCUGAGAGGGAUAUCGGCACUUUGCGCACCAAUUUCAUUGGAUUAAUCAUCAUCAAAGGUGAAAGCUUGGUUAGAUAUGUCACAUAACAUAAAAAUCAUAAAGAAUCUCUUCCUCAUACAUUCUUAAGUUUUUUAAUCUAGUUGUUAGCAUUUGGAGCUUUGACUGCUUUACACUAGUGGUUCCUUAAUGUGUGGUUUCAAGAGUUGUCCAAGCUUGACGAGCAGAAACACACUUGGAGAUACACUUGAAUUCCUCGGGGUCAACACCAUUGAAGAUUGCAUUUAAAGCCUUUGAGUUAUAACUAGUUGUUUUGUCCUCUUUGGCUAACCAUGUAAUUUCGAGUCUGAGAGUGUGAACACUAUCAAUUUCAGUAACUAGAGGUUCCCAACCUGUUAGGAUUGCUCUCCAUGCCUUCUUAUCAAUAGAUUUUAUAAACACUCGGGUUUCUAGUAGGCAUAAUUCGAGCUAUCAAGCAUAGGUGGCAUGUAGAUCAAGUUUCCUUCCCUAAUUCAACAACUAACAACAUGAUCCCACCAAAUUCGUCUUAUGUCUAGCUCUAGCACCAAUUGUAAGUGUUGGAGUAGUUGAGAAGUUCUUUGUUUAAAUGCGACUUAAGAUAUAACUAAAAACAGAAACAAUAAACAAUGAACACAGGUGAUUGUUUACACAGUUUGGAUCCAACCCCACAUCCGCAGAGCCUGUCUAAAGAGUAAAUCACUAUAAUCUUCAUGGUAUAAGAGAUGAUUUAAGCCUAAUCACACCCACAAAUAUUGCAGUCACUCUCAUUUAAUUACAAUGAAGAAAUUUCCCCAAAAAAGAUUUUCCCAUGAAAGUUUAGAACAAAUUGCUGAAACAGUUUGAUCAAAUUUUACUUUAAAUAAAAGUUUCUCCUAAUGAAUAGAUAAGUGCACACUCAAAUGCACACACUCAAUGUAAGUAGCAACCUUAAUAUAUAGAGAUUUCAGUUUGGGUGUCUCCAGCUAGUAGGAUCAGAUCAAAUCUCUAGAAUUUCGCCAAUAUCCAUUAUCAUUAUGGCUUAGAUAAUAUUUGAGAAAAAUAUAAGGAUUAUCCAUAUCCCUCUCGAUUGCAUAUCUCUUAAUAAAUGGAAAGAUAAUCAUAAUCCCAUCUACUAGUUUCCUUGCUGAGAAUUAUCUCCCCUGAUUAGCUGUGUGAUAUCACAAUUUUUGCUGCACAAAAUCACUUUAUUUGCUAUCCAAAAUUACAUUAAAAAUUGUCAAUCAAAUAUAAACAAAUCUUAAAAAAAAAACUAUUUGUUUGACAACUUUUUUUGCAGAUGCUGCUGUUGAGCUAGCAAAUUGGGAUUCCUCCAAAAUCAGGGAUAAGCUACGUCGUGACAUUAAUGAUCAUGUUGCUUCUGUUCGAGCUGCCAAGCUUUCAGAGCUUACGUCUUCCUAUGAGGUAUGGCAAUUUAUGUGUCCCCUUCUAUCCAAAAAGCUAGGGAUAGAGUAACCUAAUAAUUUAAAAGCAGGAUUUUGUGUCUAUAUCACCCGGACUCGGGUAUGAGUGUUGGAUACAGCUAUAUGCCCAACAUGGGUUUGUUCAAUUUUUCUUGUAAGCUUUUCCAGUGUAUUCAAAAAGGUCCUUCAAGGGUCAUAUCCUUAUUCCUAUAUCUAGAUAUUUGUUGGGCCUGAGUAUCGAGCACAAACACUUUAAAAGAUGGAGCAACAUAGGUUUGUGUAUCAUUCGAAGUUGUGUCAGUUUGGUUUCUCUAGGGAGGCAAGGUGAGCUGAAGUUGAGGCCUUGGCGCCAUGAUCUUUCUUUUCGCACAGUCUUGCUGGUCGAUGAUAAUUUUCACAUUGUUGCGUUGUGCAGAUUACUUUAAAAAUAGCUUUAGCCCUAGUAAUCAAGAUGUCAUAUUGAAUUGUUUUAGAAAUUGAAUCCCAUUCUUUGUUACUAGGAUUUGGGUAUUACUUUCAAGUUUUUAUAUGUAUUUGGAGGGUCAUAUCCGCAUACCUAUGCUCAAAUAUGUAUCGGACAACAGUACUUCAAGACAUAUGGAGUGCCGGGGCAACAUAGAUCUCAAUUUACUAAGAUGUCAUAAUAAAGAGUUGGGUUAUUAUAACUUUACAAUAUGGGUGUCGAAUCUACCAUCUAGUUCUGGAUAAGAAAGACCUAAAAUUUGCUUGGUGAAUUCUAAGCCCAUAUCUCAUUUUUAUGAUUGGUUUAAUCACCACUUUGAAUCAUAAUGAUAAUAAUGGUGCAUUUGCAGGCAAAGCUGAAUGAGGCAUUAUCUGGACCUGUUGAAGCACUCUUAGAUGGAGCUAAUAAGGAAACCUGGCCAUUGAUAAGGAAACUUCUGCAGCGUGAAACCGAAUCAAUUCUCUCUGGACUGUCCACUGCUCUCCCUGGUUUUGACAUGGAUGAACAAACCCAGAAGAAGACUCUAACGAGUCUAGAGAAUCAUGCGAGAGGUGUGGUUGAAGGGAAAGCAAAAGAAGAAGCAGGAAGGGUAUUAAUCCGUAUGAAGGACAGGUAAUAAUACAUUUCAUGAUUGAGUUAAAAGUGUUUGAACAAUAUAGACUUGUUUUUCUAAACAUUAUACAUUAUCAAAAUCGACUUUACAUACAGGUUUUCUACAUUAUUUAAUCACGAUUCUGAAUCAAUGCCACGGGUUUGGACCGGGAAAGAAGAUGUUCGAUCCAUCACUAAAACAGCUCACUCUGCAGUAUGUUUAUGUAUUAUCAUUUUGAUAAUUUAAAAAAAGAAAUUUCUUCCAUUCUGUUCUCUUCUGAAUUUGUUUAUUAUCCCUUGUUAGGCCUUAAAGUUGCUAUCUGUUAUGGCUGCAAUCCGGUUGGAUGAUAAUGUCGAUAACAUUGAGAAUACACUUUGUUCUGCCUUGUUGGAUACCAAAGGCAUUGCUUCUGUGACUAAAUGGGGCAGUACAACAUCUGAUCCAUUGGCCUCUAGCACUUGGGAUAAGGUUAAGUCCUGUCCUUGCUGAUCAUCUUUAUAAAGAUUUAGUUGAAUUAUACUCAGACAAGAGUGUCGAACACAAGCACUUCAUUGAUGUCUAUUGCAUGAUUGGUUCUUAUGACUGGUUUCGUUUGGCUACAGGUUCCACCCAACAAGAUAUUAAUCACACCUGUCCAGUGCAAGAUUUUAUGGCGGCAAUACCGGGCAGAGACAGAGUACUGUGUCACUCAGGCCAUUUCUGCUCAGGCAUGAAAUUUAAAAUCUUAUUAAUUUUCUAGGAGAUUAUUAUGUUACUCGGAUUUGAAUGUUAGUGUCCGAUACAGGUAUAUUCAAUUUUUUCUCUGAAUUAUUAUUUAUCUCUCUACUUUCAGGAAGCCAACAAGCGUAGCAACAACUGGUUACCACCUCCAUGGGCAAUUGUUGCUUUGAUCAUCUUGGGAUUUAAUGAAUUUUUGACUCUUCUAAGGUGCACAUUUCACAAUGUAUUUGGAUUUUUUAUAAAAUAUAGAAUAUACAAAUACGGGCUUUUUCAACUUCUUUUAAAUCUUUUAAUGUUUUUGAAGUUUUAAGGAUUUUUAGAAUGUUAUUAUCUCAAAAUAUAAAUAUCAGAUAUGAAUAUUUUAUAAAAAUUAAAAUUAAAACUAAAGUAAAUAGUUUAUUAGUGCUUAAUUUCAAAUAUUGUCAUUGCAGAAACCCUUUGUAUGUGGGUAUCAUCUUUGUUGGUUACCUUAUGCUGAAAGCUCUCUGGGUGCAGCUCGACAUUUCUGGUGAAUUCAGCCAUGGUGUUGUGAGUAUCAAGCAUGUAUUUUGGCUUUCUGUUUAUUUCUAAGCAUGCAUAAAAUAUUUGUCAUUCGUGUUCAAAUGAGAGUGUUGGGUAUGAUCAUGUGUUCGAAACAUUAGUUUUUAAUUCUUUCAAUAUUUUCAUUUAUUUGUAGUCUUUGAAAGAUUAUAUUUAUAUUCAUAUAAGCAUGUUAAAAUAUGUAUCGCAUAUUUAUAUUUUAAGAAAAAAACGAAAAGUAGUAACAACGUAUUAAAAUCUUGAAACAAUUUAUUGGAAAAACAUUUGAAACUUUUUUUUGCAUGUAAACUUGAAAUACAAAAGCCAGAUACCUGGAGGCGAUUUGCUUCUUUUUAGACGUGUCUGGCUAUGUUACUUGCAUAUAGGUAUGAAUUUUAAUAUAUUCAAAAAUAUAUAUACAUGUACUUUGAAAGUCCUUGGAAUGCCAUAUCCUAUAUCCAACUCAUACAUUAUAAAUAAAAUUACUUCAGAAAAAAAACAAACAAACAAACAAAGCUGCCAUUUUUUUCUAAAAUUAUGAUGUUGGUCCUUCUAUCAUCCUCAAUUUUAUAAUUUAGUUUUUUACUUUUAUUUGGUAUAAUUUGGUCAUUACUUUUAUAAGAUUAUUAGUUAGUCCAAAUGGUGUUAAAUAUUCUGGUAAAAAUAUUGUCAUAAAUUACCAGAACUACUCCAUGCAUGCUAUCCAAAAAAAGAAAAUCACCUUAUCUUGAAUACAAUUUUUUUUUUAAAAAAUCGCUCCAAACAGUUUGAGUCUAGCCAUCUCUACUCAAUUAUUGAAAGUAGUUUAUAUUAUUAUUUAUAUAUAAUUUAAAAUUUUAAUGUUUUGCAGUUACCUGGGAUAAUUUCCCUAUCAACCAAGUUCAUUCCCACGAUUAUGAGCCUUCUGAAAAAAUUAGCAGAGGAAGGGCAAGCAGCAGCAAAUAACAACCCUCAAUCAACCAAUGCUUCAGCAUCUAAGAGCUUGCCAAACACUUCUCCUCCAUUACUCACUGCUUCCUCUACAGUAACUUCAUCAGCAAACGGUACCAAAGAAGAAUAAUCACCAACUUAUUUCAUAUAUAUAUACUAUAUAUGUUAUUCCGACUUGAAUAUGUUGGAUACGGUAUGUAUUCGACAUGAGUACAUUCAAUUUCUAUUUUUCAAGAUUUACCAUGUUUUGGAAAAUCUUCGAAUUAUAUUCUCAUACUUAUGUUCGGAUGUGUGUCGUGCACACAAGUGUUUAAGAAAAAAAUGAAAUGUCAAGAAUAACAUGUAUAUAUAUGGUCUAUAAUGCAUGUGAGGGUUAAAAGGAGGCACUGCUAAUUUCUUGAGGUAAAGGCCACAUCAAAUAGGUUUUUUUUUUUCUUUUGUUUUUAAUUUUAUUUUUCAGACUAGAUUUUAAGCUAAUUUUAUAUAUUUAUGUUUUUCUUCGCCAUGUUGUUAGCUCUUAAUAUAUUUAUAAACAUAUAUAUAUACAUAUGUAAGUAGGUACUCAGAUUUUGUUCUUUUGUCGUGAGUAUUUGGGAUGGCAAAAACUCUCAGCCACCAAAUUUAUAUCAAUUCAUUUUUGAUGAAUAUGCUUGUGUUUUGAAAAAUAUUGGGUGAAUUUUUUAAAAAAUUGAAUUAAAUUAGAGGUGUUUAUGAGUUGAAUGGUUUGAUUAACUCGAGUUUCUUUGGAUUAAGUUUGGAUGUAUAAUUUUUAAUCUUCAUUUGUUUCAACCUGUUAUAUUCUUUAAAAUAAUAAAUAUAAAAAAUUAUAUUUAUAUUUAUAUUUAUAUUUAUAUAUUUUUAUAAUUAAAUUUAAAUAAAAAUAAAUUUUAUUAUUUUUGAACAAUAUAACAGACUAUUUCAAUCGGCUUAAAAAGGCUAGGUUGAGCUUCUGUUUCGGCUUAAUCUUAAUUUUUUUUUAAAAGAGACAGUUUGAUCCAAUCCAAACCCAUGAAUAUCUUUAAAUAGAACUGAUCAUUUUGAUAGAUACUUAUUAGGUAGUAUUUUAAAAGAAAAUACUAAUUUAAAUUGAGAUGAAUAUUAAAAUUAUAUAUGAACUUUGAUAAAAUUUGUAAUUUUAUAUAUCAAUUUUAAUUUGGUAUAUUUGUAUACAUUGAACUUUAAUUUUAGUUCAAUUUUCACAUUUCAUUAACUCCGUUAUCUAUGUGGUACAAUUUUUCGUUAAGUCAUGUGUAAAUUGUUAAUAUGAAAUUUUAUUAGGUUUAAAAGCAAACAAACAAAUUUAAAUUAAUUUCACAUAGAUUAAAAAAAAAGAUUUCUUGGUGGAAAUAGGAAACCUUUUUCCGGAGAGUGUUUAUUUUUUUAAUAUAGGUGAAAAUAAUUUAAAUUUAUUUGUUUGUUUUCUAUCCUAAUAAAAUAUCAUUUCAACAAAUUACAUAUAAUAGAAAAUUGUGCCACAUAGAUAAUAGGGUUAGUGGAAUGUGAAAAAAUGAACCAAAAAAUAAAAUUUGAUGUAUACAAAUACACCAAAUUUUAGUUUAUGUAUAACAUUGCAAAUUUUAUCAAAGCUCAUAUAUAAAUUUAUUAUUUAUCCCAUUUAAAAUUUAAAAUAUUUUAUAAAUUCAUUUUAUAUUUGUGGUAUAAUUAGAAAUGAAUUAUAAAUAUACUAACCUUAUAUAUAUUAAAAUUCUUGCUUACGAAUAAAAUAAAUAUAUUUUAUAAAUAUACUAAAGUCAAGAUCUUUAUUUGGAGGUGGUGCCUUCACAAUUUCAUACCGUGUAAAGGAAGACUUGUUGAGAAAGGGUGUUGUAUUGAUCUGCUUUGUUUAUGGUGUGAUGAACUUGAAAUAAUUGAGCAUGUGCUGAUUCAUUGCUGGAAUAUUGUGGGAAUUCAACACUUGACUACUGGGAUUGUUGAGACCAUUUUUCGCCUCUUUGCACGCCACCGGGCCUUAAUGAUUUUGUGGACCCUUUGGUUCUAUAGGAACAUCUUUGUUUGGCAGCACAAGGAUGCUCGAAUUAUCGAGUUUGCAAAUAAAUUUAUACACCCUCGAAUGAUGCGAGUAUUAUUGGUGCUUCACAGUGGGCGAGACCAACGGAUGGGUUACUAGACUGUAACGUGGAUGCUUAUAACGCUUCUACUUUUGCGGCUAUUGUGCGUGAUAGUAAUGGGCUUUGAUGGAACUUCACAUACCUAAAAUUUGGUCAAUACGCGAGGCUCUCUCUUGACUACAAAAAUUGAUGUUUUGAUAAAAUUGUGGUUGAGUCGAAUUGUCUUUUGACCAUUAAUGCUUGGUAAAGCCUACUAUAAAUUAGUCAAAUUUUGGAGUACUUGUUUGCGAUUGUUUAUCUUUGCAACUUGAAUUCUCUUCUUUGUCAUUUGCUUGAACUCGACGGACGGCUAAUUAGGCUGCUCGUUUUAUGUCCAAGGCAACCAUGUUAUUUGCAGAUUAUAAAGAGUGAAUUUCAACGUCUAUUACUUAAAUUAUUGACAAUGAUGUUUCAAUAUUAAAUGCCUCUAGGAAUACGUAUAUUAAGUAUUGAACAGCUAUUUUAUUUAAAUAAUAAUAAUUUCCAUAAUCAACAAAUAUCUCCAACUCAGGCUAUCUUUUCAAGCUAGAGAAUUGGUGACAAAUUCUUUAAGGAGCACAAUUAAGAGUCAACAAAGCACAAAAAGAGCUUGGCAGCAAUGCAUAAAUCUCUAUUGCAAUACAUUGCAGAUAAAAGGACCUAACUUUUGCCAAAUUGCUUGCAACUAGAGACGAUCUCCUUAAGGUUGCACGAGCUAACAUUCAAAGAAUUCUCCCUACUAAAUGAAAUUAUCAAAAGAAAUUUUAUUUCAAGGAUGCUAUUAUAAUAAUAACUUUGGUUAAAAUGGUAAAAUUAAAAAAUCAAAUAUCACAAUGUUUUGAAUUUAAAUCUCAUCAUGUGCAAGUAUAUUUCUAAAUUUUAUAUGAACAGACAAAAUUAUCUUCAAAACAAUCUUUAUUGUUUAUUAAAAAUGAAUGACCUUUAAUAAAUUUAUUACUGAAUUGGUGAUCCGGUUAAAGUUUGACACCAACUCAAUAAAAUAUUUAAAUAUAAUAAUAAAUAUAUAGAUAGAUAUUAUGCAUUCUUCUACUCUAAUUUAAUUAAUUUUAAUCUUUAUAUUUUUUAAAGUAGUCAAUUUUAGUCUAUAAACUUUUUAAAUUUGAAACAAAAAAUUUAAAUUUAUAUAAGUUGUGUCCAAAUUGAUGUCUUUAGUUAUUGUUAUUUUCGAAUUUAAAAAUUCCGACCUUGAUUUAAAUAAUAUUAAUUACUUCAUUAACUAAAUUAACCCGUGUGAGUGUUACUCGUUUUAUUGCGAAUUUAAUUUUCAUAAAUUAUUAAUAAUAUUAUCAACAUAAUAUUACAUAUAUAAUAAUUAUAGUAAUCUAAUUUAAAAUUAAAUGUGGAUAUUUAUUUAAAUAAAUCACAAUUAAAAUUUUAUGAUUAAAUUUUCUCCGGUCUUCUUGUUUUUCUUUGGGCCAUUUAUUAAUGGUUGAAUUCUAGAAUUUCUUCUUUCUGUUUUUUUUUUAAAGCUUUUUUGGAAAAAAGAAGGAAAAGGAAAAAUGGAAAAAGAACCGACUGAAGAUGCGAUCUUUGAUUUGAUCCUGGGAGUGUGGAGAAAUCUAGGCCGUUAGCCUUUCCAAUUUUUUAUUAAUUAUCAGACAGUAAAUACAGAAAGAGAAAUGAAAGGAGGCGAUGAGGAGGUCGCAGCUCCGGCUGGCCCGCCACAGCCGUUGGAUUGGAAAUUUUCUCAGGUAUUUGGUGAGCGAACCGCUGGAGAAGAAAUUCAAGAAGGUAAUUUUCAUUCGUUUUUGGAUCCAAUUUGUACUUUGUUGGUUCAAUUGGAAUUAGGAUUAGCUUUGGUGUUUUGGAUCGAUUUUCGAUCAUGGCUUAUUGAGUAAUUUUUGUUUUGGUAAAUGGGUAUGAGAAAUAAUUGUGAACUUUUUGGGAUUUGGUUUUGAUUCGGGAAAGAUGGAGCUUUUGUCCAAAUAAUGCUUUAAAUAGUGUUUUUGUUAGCCAAAAAAAGGUUGUAUGGAAGUGAACUUGGUUAAGUUACUCAUGAUGCAUGCACAAAAAAAUGUUCUUUUCUGUAUUAAAUUGAUGUUUGGAUCUUAAUAACAAAAAAUUUGUGGUUAUGGGGAUUUUUAGUGCAUGGAAAGUAACUAAUAGUAUUGAGAGUUGUGUUGAAAAUAGGAUCUGAGUAUUAUCACUCUUAGGAUUGAGAUAGACUAUGUUUUUAGAGAUUUUGUUACUUUGAGUCUUAACCCAUGGAAAGAUGACAACAUUGUUGUGUCAUGGGUUUUACUAUUUGUAUGUUUUUGACUAAAGAAAGCUACAUUCUACCGAUUCCUGGAUAUAUUUUGCAAUCGUUUACUUGUACAAAUGGGUUAUAUCAUAUGUGCCAAGCAAAUGGGAUUGGCAGAAAGUUGGUUAGCUUAUGAGUUGAGUGAUAUAAGAGUUUGUGAUGCUUCUAUGAAACAUAGAGUUCGGUGAUUUGCUGAUACAUAUUUGACCUUUUCGAUAUUCAGUUUAAUUUAAUAUGGUCCAUUUCAGUAAUUCAAUGGUGAAACUUUGCUUGAGUUGAGUUUAGGUGGGUAAACGUCAAGGUAAGUAAUUAUUUUGGAACCGAUGAACCGAGACAUUUUGUCAUGAUGAACAAGUGACAGAACUACUUUGGUGAUGCUUGGUUUGGUGCCAUUGUAGGAACUAGCUCGUAUAUGAUAAGAAUGGAAUAUUGGAAACUGCAGAUGAUAGUCGGGUGCUUACAUUGAUAACAUCCCAAGGAGCUAAUGACUAAGAAAAGUAAUGAGUUUGUGAAGGACUGCAAUAGAUGUAUGAAGAACAAGAUCUGAGAAAGUUGCCUAAGGACUAAGAUGGUGCAUUUAUACAUGAUAAAAAAGACCAAUAAUGUCCAAAGAUGUAAGGAUUUGAGGAGAAUGUGUUUAGAAGACAUGGCAAGUGAAUUCUUAUUGAUACUAAAGGAGACAAUUCCUUAUUUGCUGGAGGAAGUAGCCAUGAUAGACGGUUUUGGUUUUGUCUAUUAAACUACUAAAUUAAGGUUAGAAGUCCUUUCUAGUUAAUUCUUGAAAAGCAACCCAGAAAAGCAUGGCUGUGAUUAGAUGGCUUAAAUUGGGGAUUUUUACAGAGAGUAGGUGGAUAAUUUGGCUGCAAUGGAUGUCUUUUGCUUCUGGAAAAGCUAGGUUGGUCAGAUCUUGCAGCUUAUAUGCAUAUUUCUACUUAGGAUUUGUUUUUGAAGCAAUUUGCUAAUGUGUGGCAAUAAGUUCAGGUUGGAUUCGGUGAGAAAUGGAUUGCUUUCAGAAACAUUCUCGUUAACUAGGAUGGAAUCGCUAAUUAUUUUCUGUCUACAAUAACUCAUAGUUAGCUUAAGAUUGCAGAAGUCUAUUCUGAGUUAUGGAAGACCAAGGAGUCUCUGGCAAGGAUAUUUCUUAGAAAGGAUAGUGUAGAAAAUAAAGGUUAUCAAGAUUUGGGCUUCUUCACAUUUGUUGCAGCUUCUAUAAAGAAAGUUAUAUAAACUUGACAAAAUCUUACCAUUACUCUUACUGGCAAUGCAUUUGUAUUUUCUUAAGAAUUUUGUUUCCUCCUGCAGUUGAUAUUAUUUCCGCAAUUGAAUUCGAUAAAACUGGGGAUCAUCUUGCAACUGGUGACCGUGGGGGCCGUGUGGUUCUUUUUGAGAGGACAGAUGCAAAGGAUGUGAGUUCUGCUUCCUCCUCUGAUGUUAAUAUAUUACUUAGUUAUUUUCUUCUAUUAUGGCUUUAUAGUAACUUCUUGUACUACAAUUUCAGCGUGGUCUAUCAAGAAGGGAUCUAGAAAGAACGGAUUAUCCAAUUAGUCGGCACCCUGAGUUCCGUUACAAGACAGAGUUCCAGAGCCAUGAGCCUGAGGUGCUCUCUCAUCGACUUUUGGAGCACUGAUACUACUUGCAUAUGCACAUAUGAACAGACACACUUAUUUUUCCCCAGGCUCAAACUAUUUUGCUCUAUCUUUGGUUUUCUUUUCUUUUCAGUUUGACUACCUCAAAAGCUUGGAAAUAGAGGAAAAAAUCAACAAAAUCAGAUGGUGCCAAACAGCCAACAGUGCACUGUUUCUCCUCUCCGCCAAUGAUAAAACCAUCAAAUUUUGGAAGGUAGGGAAGAAAUCCGUGCUGUAACUCUGUCUUAACUAUAAGUCCUUCAGUUUGCUUGUAGUUUUGUCUAUGCAAUCACAUUAUUUGCAAUACAUAUUGGUGGUAUGUUAGCAUGUUCAUGCCUUUAUAAUUUUGUCUGUAAAAUACUUCCUAUGACAUUGUUUGACAAGUGUAAAACAAACUGGGUAUUUUUUCUCAUUUUAGUUUGUUUAUUCUUCCAACUGUUGGUGUUAAGCAUAUUUAAUGGCUGAUAUUAUGAUUUGUGGGUAGCUUUGUCUUUGCUAUUAUGGCCACUUAUUUGUCUGCUAUGUGAGGGUAACAGGUACAAGAAAAGAAGAUCAAGAAAAUUUCUAAAAUUAUUGCUGACCCUUCGAAAGCUGUUGGAAAUGGAAAUGUUGCUAGUUCAAGUAAUUCAAAUAGCCCAAAAUCUUUUCUUGCAAAUGGAGUCUCCCCCGACAGAUCCUGCAACCAUUUGGGCAAUGACAUCUCUUUCCCACCAGGAGGCCUUCCAUCGCUAUGUUUACCUGUGGUGGUUGUACUCAACACAAUUAUUUUAUUUACUUGCUGUGAUUAAGUUUUAAAUUUAAAUACAAUUUUUAUCUAAACGAGUUUUAGUAUGGCCAAGGCUUGUGAGGAUGUUAAAACCUUACUUAAAGCUUAAAAGAAGUGCUACCUAAGGUGAUGAACUUCUUUUUAAGAUGACAUGUCUAUAAGAUGUGCUUUCUAAUGCCUAACUGAAUCAGGGGCGAAGCCCAGGAUUCUUCAAUGAGAUAGAGUAUUUGGCAUUUUAUAUUAUCCUUCUGCACCAUCUCAUUCAAAGAUGCACUUCUAGGCAUUAUGCAGCAUAUACUGUUAGAUUUGUAAUUUCUAUCCUGCUACACAUUAUCAUCUAAGAAUCUGCCACUUCCAUCUCUGCAUCUUAUUGGAUAACUGGGGCCAUGGGAGCCAUACAUGGCUCUAGUCCUUGGAAGACAAUAGGUUGUUGUUUCUUUUUCUUUUCUUGGUGAACAACCAUGAAUCUUUUUAUUGUCUUACCUUUAAGUUUUAUUGUAUCUUCUAGGUAACAAGUCAGGAGACCAACCUAGUGGCGAGAUGUCGAAGAGUAUAUGGCCAUGCUCAUGAUUAUCAUAUCAACUCUAUUUCAAAUAACAGGUAGGUAUUCUCUUAUAUUUUUAUUACAUUUCUUUAUGCUGUGACUUACUAUAUGUGGACUUGCUUGAAAACCUUUGAAGAGGAAGUAUGAUUUUUCCUUGGAUAUUUUAUGAGUAGAAACCUUUUAUCUUACUUUUUUUUCUUCUCUGAUGAAGAAAUCUAUCAUCAUCUGAGACACUUGAAUGCCCUUAUUAAGAUUUUCAGUCUGAUAAUUUCUUACCUUCAAUGGCCUCUAUUUGUUGAUUUUUGUUUCUUGUCCUUUGCAAUAUCAUUCUGAGGCAUCUCUGCAGAAAGUGAUGUCAUUUAGGAUGUCCUUGGUAAGUGGAAAAGUGGAAAGAUGGAAGAGGAUAAUAGAAAGGAGAAAAGAAAAUAGUAAAGAUAAUCAUUUUCUAUCCUAAUGUAUAAAAACAAAUUAUACCAAAUUGGAAUGAUAAGAGGAGAGAAAAUGAGAGAGAUGUAAGUUAAAUUUCAGAUUUAUGUAUUUUUUAAAAAAUUCAUUUUCUUUUCUCUCAUUUUUCCACUCUUCCGAGUAAUGAAUGGAAAGAAAAUUACUUUUUCUUUUAAAUUUUCCAUUUUUUGUACCAAGCAUGCCGAUGGAAAGAAAAAAUAUAUUUUGUUUCUACUUUUCUACUCUUUCCAUCUUUUGAUGCAAAUCCUUAGUUUUAGGUUCUAGUAUGGAGUAGAAAGUUAAAACUGCGUGGAUUAGGUUUCUUUUUUUUUUCCUUUUUUUCGCCGUUCAAACUUCAUGUGUGGUCAAGCCGUUAUAUAAUGAUAAAGUAUGAUUGAGUUUAUAAUGUCGUAAUUACAUGGUGGAUUUUAAUUUCUAAGCAACAAGUUCUGUGGCUGAACUUUCUGUUUUGUCAUGGCCAAGCAAGAAGUUUUAAUUGUGAAAUGGUCUCUGAGGAUACUGUCCAUGCAUUAAAAAUGAACAGCUGAUUAAUAAUCUUUACAACUCCGGAGAACUUCUAAACUGUAAGGUUUAAAUGCUAUGAGUGGAGUUUUCUUUAGGAAUUAUUUGUCUUUUGAAGCCUCUGAUCUAUUGCAUUCUCAUUUUGCAUAAAAAAAUAUGAUGAUCUAUCCUCAACUGAAUAUGCUUUAUGCCAUUCAACCCUUGAAGUAAGUUUUUAGCUCAUACCAAAUAUUUGCAUCAUAUUUUAUCACCGAAUUAUCUAGUCCUUGUCUUGAUGUUGGAUUGUCUGCACACCAUGUUUCUAUGCAAUUGUUAUUCAUGUAAUUUUUUGCUUUGAAAUCCAUAAUAUUUAAGCUUCUUGCAUUCAGGCUUGUUUGCAGUUUAUAUUUUAUGGGAUUAUAUUAGUUUUUAUUUACCUUCAUUCCAAGAUUUACUGGGUCUCUUUCUCUCUCUUAUUUUACCUAGUGAUGGCGAAACUUUUAUAUCAGCUGAUGAUUUGCGUAUAAAUCUUUGGAACCUGGAAAUUAGCAAUCAAAGUUUCAAUAUUGUUGAUUUAAAGCCUGCAAACAUGGAGGAUCUAACUGGUAAUCUUCUUAGCAUACCAGUUAAAGUAGUUCCACCUUCUCUGCUGCUUAAUAAAUUCUAUGAAGUAUCUCCUUUUUAAGCCACUUUUAAGAUCUUUACAAUAAAUUUGUUUGGAGGUAGUUCUUAAGUUCCCAAGUUCCGUUUAGCCAUAGUUUUUGUUUUCGUUUUCAUUUGAACUAUUGUUAUGCCUAUCUUUUCAGAGGUUAUAACAUCAGCAGAGUUUCACCCUGCCCACUGUAAUAUGUUGGCAUAUAGUAGCUCAAAGGGCUCGAUUCGCCUCAUUGAUUUGCGGCAAUCAGCUUUGUGUGAUUCUCAUGCCAAAUUGUAAGUGUUUUACCAUUUUUGUACCUUUGUCUACAAUUUACCAACUUAUUCUCCCAAAAGACUUUCCUAUAGAUCCUGACAGCUGAUGGUAUAUUGGCUGUUUGCUUUCAAUAUCCUUUCUGAAUAACCUAUACUAUGCCAACAGGUUUGAAGAACCGGAGGCACCUGGUUCUAGAUCGUUUUUUACAGAGAUAAUCGCCUCAAUCUCAGAUAUUAAAUUUGCCAAGGAUGGAAGAUAUAUACUCAGCCGUGAUUACAUGACUCUUAAGGUUUUAGCUUUGUUUCUUUUCCUUUUUAUUUUUUUUUAAAAUUGUUUUCAGUAUUGAUCCAUAUAUGAUUAUUCCUUUUCAAUGCAUGAUUAUUACAUUAUCACGUGAUUCUUCUUAAGCAUACUGCACUGAGCCGACGACUUUAUGUGCCAUUUAAUCCCGGUUUUCGUUAUCUGUCCACUUAUUCUGUAAGACAUUGAAAAGGAUUUGUUUGCCAUUGGUAUGCUGUAACAUGCAGGAAGCAUGAAGCUCAAAUUUUGCUGCAAAUAUAUUUUCAAUAAAGACUUUAGUUUGUAAACAUGUAGCACACUGAUUGAAAUGGAAAGAGCAAUUUGGUUCAUCGGCAUUUUAGUUAGGACUUGGAUAAUCAAAGGAUGUUGUUUAUCUCGUAGAGAGCUUAUCAUGAAAAUAUUUUCUUCUAUUCAGUAUUUGAGCAUUCAACAAUUUUGAAGUAAAUGCUUUUUUGAUUGCCUUCCCUAUUCUCUACUUGAUGUCCGUUGUGCUCUUAAUUCAUUUGACAUUAGCAUAAUUGUUUAAUAGGGAUCUUAGAACUUAUCAUCUGACUUGAUAACGUAUCACUUGGUUGUCAGUUAUGGGACAUAAACAUGGAUUCGGGUCCAGUUGCAACAUUCCAGGUUCACGAAUAUUUAAGACCCAAGGUAUGAUUUCUACCUUCUGAUAGAGAUUAUAUUAAUCAUAUUCGUGUUGUGCUGUGUCAGAGCUGAUUAUGGCUUUCUUUUAAUUGUUUCAGUUGUGUGAUUUGUAUGAAAACGAUUCAAUCUUUGACAAAUUUGAGUGUUGCCUAAGUGGUGAUGGAUUGCGAGUUGCAACAGGUUCCUACAGGUUUGUUUUUUGAGAUUAGGUCUGUUAAUCUUUUGCUAUUGUUGAUGUUAUCGUCUUCCACUUAUCAUAAUAUAUAUUUCCCAUGAUCUCAGCAAUCUGUUCCGUGUAUUUGGUUGUGCCCCUGGAAGCACUGAGACAACAACUUUGGAAGCCAGCAAAAAUCCAAUGAGGUAAACUAUUCACUCAAUCAUCGUAAAAUCUUGGGUGAUUCUGUAAUGAUGUAAGUAGUUAUAAACAUCCUAACAUCUUUUCAGGACACAAGUUCAGUCACCCUCAAGGCCUUCCAGAUCCCUAAACAGCAUAACACGUGUUGUACGACGAGGUAGAGAUCAAGUGUUUAUUUGUUCCUUUUUAACUACCACUAACUUUUGAUUAUUUUUGUGCUGGACUCCUCUCAAAUGCUUGUGUUUUUGGAAAAUCUGCCAUAAAUAGCAGAAACCCUCGGAGUUGAUGCAAAUGGAAACUCUCUUGAUUUCACGACAAAGUUGCUGCACUUAGCGUGGCACCCCACCGAAAACUUGAUAGCUUGUGUUGCUGCUAACAGCUUGUACAUGUACUAUGCAUAAAAGAUGGUCCAAGAAGCAAUGUAUUUCCUUGGUUAACUUUUAUUUGGGAGCUGGUAGCAAAACCUUGUUUCACUUUCCUGGUGACCAUCGCGUUAAAUGCUACAUCGACUCUUAACACUUUUGGUAGCCCUAAAAUCCAUAGCACAUCCUAGUAUCGAGGUCAAGAAAUAUCUUAGCAGGGAAGAAACAUAUCUUUGUUCUCGGGUAGGCAGCUCAAUUCUCUUUUCCCCUUUCCCCCCUCAUCUCAGAAACCCGAAAAUUUUCUUUUCCCUCCCGUAAUCUUCUUUCAAAGUAGAAGGUGGAGUUAUGUUUCUAAGACGUGUUGGGUUGAAGUUAGCAGAAAAUAUGAUUGUAGCAAAAGGAUUUCAAAAUAUUUGGCACAAGGUUCAAAGGUAACUGUAAAUUAAUUUUUUUUUUCUUACCUUUUUGGGCUCAAAAUCAUGGUGGGAAGUAGCUGUUGGAACUUGCAUCAUUUAUUUUUUUGUUUGAUUCUUUUGUCAUGUCUGGAAGUCGGGAAAAAUCCCGAAAUUACACAUGCAAUACGAGUUUUGAUUUGAUCCAAUUGUAGAAAAAAAGAACUAAUGCUUCUCUUUUCUGAUUUCUAGGCUUUCAGAUUAACAAAAACCUGUUGAACUAAUUAUCAAACGACGAAUAUCCAGACACCUAUUGAACUAAUUAUCGUAUCUGACCAAUUGUUGCAUUCAUUUUAAUUUAUUACACCUGGAGUCCAAGUUGACAGAGUCGUCUCCGAUAACAAUGGAGAUUGGUGAGUGGGAGAGAUGGAGCUUCAUCAAAUCUGGGGCGUCAAUCAAACGCAUCUGAAACCGUAGUAUUUCAUAGGUGACUAGUGUCAUGGGUUCCUAAGUCCGUGACACUAGAAGGUAGAAAAAGCUUCUGUGCAAUAAAUUUUGUUAAAAUCUUCUAGUCCUUUUAUUUUGAAUAUAAUUUAUUUAUUUUUUCAAAUUUUAAAAUUUAAAUCUAUCACUUUUAAAAUGAUAAAGAAUUGUAGACAGCUUUCUGUCAAAAUUGUGGAAAGGAAUUGAAUAAAAGAUUAAGUGGAAAUAUUUUUUUACUUAAAUAAAAGAUUUAAUGCUUCAUUCUUAAUAAGGAAAAGAAAAUAUAGAAUUCGAUCCGAAGGUUCACUUGAAAUCCGGACCUUGAGUAAGAUUUUUUUGCCCCAGUCCGGCCCAGCUCAAAUAUAUUCUAUUAUAAAAAAAUGUUAUAUUAAUUAUAUAUAUUUAUAUUUAUAUUAAAUCACUAACUCAAUAACAAUUAAACGCGUUAUCCAAAAUCUAAAAAAAACUUUUUCAACUUACUCAACCUAAAAUAUAAAAUUUUAAAAAUUAUAUUUAAUACAAUAAAAUAUUUAUUAUAUUUAUGGUAGUAUUUUUAAUAUAGUGUAUUAUAUUUUUUUUAAAAAUAUUUUUAAAUAAAAACUAAUCUUAAAAAAUCAAAUAUGGGCAGGACUGGCCCAGAUUUACCUUUCUUAAAUUGGGUUGAAUUUGGACAAGAAAAAGUAACCUAUUUUUCAAACCAGAUUUGACUUGAAAAAUUGGUCUAAAUACCUUUCAUGGACCCAGCCCGACCCAACCCGACCAAUGAGCACCCAUAGAUGGGAGGGGUGAAAGGGGCAUAAUUGUCCUUACUUUAUACAGUGACACUGAUAUUUCAGUAGUACAAAGUUUUAAAAAUACGGGGAAAAAAAAUAUAUAUAUAUUUGAUUUAAAAUUUUCGGCAUCUCCAAGCUGUUGGGCGACACCAUUUUAAAAUUGUUUUUUUUACUAAUGCAAUCAUUUUGUAAUUAUGUUGGUGCUUUGUCAAAUGGUGUCACCUUAGAUUACUGUAGAAAAUGACUCAUUCUCGUAAUUAAUCUACUUUCCACCUCAUUUUCCUAAUUAUUUUUUUCGUAUUAUUGAUGUAAAAAACUUCAUUAGGUUGAUUAUUUGUUAAUGUCAAAUUAUGAAGUAAAAUUUGAAGAUUAAAAUAUACUUUAAUCCUACUUUUAUUUUUAGACACUUGGACUCUCUACUUUUUGGAUUUUAAAUUUAGAUCCAACUAUUAAAUUUUAUGAUAUGUCAUUUUGAAGUUUAAAAAAAAAUUACUUGGUAGUCAUAUAAAAAUAACAUUGAAAAUGUUUAUGUGGAUUUUUUUUUCUCUUAAAAACAUCAAUUUAAACUCAUCAUGAUAAAAAAAAAUUUUGUUGGAAUAGUGUUCCUAAGAAAAAUUGACGUAAGCAUUUUAAUUGAAAUAGUAAUACUAUUAAAUAUUUAGACUAACUAAUGAUAUUAUAAAAGUAGGAGGAUUAAAUUAUGUCAAAAAUUAAUGUUAUAAAUUAACUAACGACAUUAUCCCAUUUUUAGCAUGGUAUAAGAACUAAAACUGAAGUUUGAUCAUUGUUUUAUAAUGUCAAAAAAAAAAAGAAGAAGAAAGAAGCAAGGCAAAACUAAAAUAAAUAGAAAGCCACAUAUCCGUUUCUAAUACCUUUAAUGCAUUCAAAUUAUAUAUAAUCACAUACUAUUUUAAUCGAAAAAUUAACAAUAUUAACUAUUUGGACUAAUUAAUAACAUUAUAAAAAUACAUGGACCAAAUUACAUUAGAAAUUAAAGUGUAAUGGUUAAAUCUUAAAUAUAGGCAUGAUAGAGGGACCAAAAUUGGAAUUUAACCAGUUUUCAAAAAUGCAAAAGGAAGAAGGAAAGCACCAUGGUGGUACACGUGUUGAAAAAAGAAGGCAUUUAGUAUUCUUCGUGCAUUUGAAAUUUAGUCUUCAUACUUUUAUUUUUAGGAAUAUAGUCCUUAUAUUUUUUUAAUUUUAAAAUUCAGAUCCAAUUGUUAACAUUAUUAGUUUUUUUGUUAAAUUCGUUGUUGUGACAUUUUAAAAUUUAAAAAAAAAAACCCCACUUAGUUACCAUAAAACAAAAAAAAAUUAUAAUGAACUUGAAUUUAACAAAUGAUUUUAAACAUGUUUACAACUCCUAAAAGUUACAUCAGCUUUUAAUCAAAAUAAAAUAUUUUGACUAAUCAAUAACAUUGUAAAGGUUAAAGUAUCAAAUCAUAUAAAAAAAUUGAAGUAUAAAGAUUAUAUUUUAACUUCGAGUGCAACACAUGGACCAAAUUUGAAAUUCAACCAUUGUUGUGUUGAGAGUGUUUUCAAAUUGGGUUGGUCAAUUUAUGAUAAUUAAUGGGUACUUUUUUGAAGAAAAAUAUAAGCUACAAAUACAACUGGACGUCUUGAAAAGUAAAAAGAUUAAAUUCUUUAGAGUAAAUGUAUAUGAACUAAAUUUUGAAUUUGUAAAAAAUACAAAAACUUAUUUAACCUAAAUUGUUUUAUUUAAAAAUUAAAUUUUAAAUAAAAAUUACUAAUAAGAUUCGAACUCAAAUCUGAUUUCGAGUUUUAGUAUUAGAAUUAAAUUAUUUGUUGAAUAUUCAGGUAUAUUAAAUAUUUGCAUUCCAUAAGUACUUUUGAUGCAAUUACAAAAAUAUGGUGGGUUUGUAUAUUCCCUUAUUUACCAAAGUUAUAAAUGUUAAUAUCUGUAUCCACUCUAAAAUUCCUUGUAGAUAGUAAUUAAAAUAUUAAGUUUCAAAUCUUAUUCUAAAUUUGUAAUCUUUGAAUAUGCAAAAAGCAAGUUGGAUAUCUGCAUUAUACAGUACCAUCCCUACUUUGGAUUUAUAUUUAUUUUUUUGUUUGUUUAUAAUAGUAAAUAAAAUAAAUGGUUGGUAUCGGGUUUUUAGUUUUCAAUUUGCUACUUUAGUUUAGUUUUAAUGUUUAAUUUGGUACCUAAAUCAAAUGGAUCAUGUGGCCUAAUAAAUAUUUGACAUUGUUACAAGUGACUUUUCUGUCAAAAGUGCUAAUAGGAUGUUGAAGGAAGGCUCUUGAAAUUCAAGAGAGGCAAAAUGGAAAAUUGUAUGGAAAUAUCCAGGACCUCAAAGAGUCUGGUACUUUAUUUGGACUACUUUUAAACACAUAUUUCUUACAAAUGUGGAAAGAGUUAAGCAGGGAAUUGGGGUUGACUCUUCAUGUCCUAUUUGUAGUCAUGGCUCGAAAGAUGCCUUACAUGUUCUUAGAGAUUACUCAGCAGCAAAAGAUGUUUGGCUAAAUGUUAUACCAGUACACCAACAAAGGAGUUUCUUGUCGAAUAAUUUACAUGAUUGGCUAGUUUCUAAUUUGCAAGACCUUUUGAAAAUGCAUUGGGGAGGAGCUAAUUGGAUUUGCCUAUUUGGACUCCUUGCUUGGCGUAUUUGAAAGAAUCGUAAUUUUUUUUUUAUUUUUCAAGGUAUAACUUGGAAUUCGAAUGAGAUUAUCAAAGCCUCAGAUAACUGGGCCAAAUAGCAUUCUACUGUGUCUAAAGAUGUUUCCGAUUGAUGUCAUGAAUAUACUAUUGGGCAACUUAUAACAUGGAAUUGGGUUAUCCUAAAUACUAAUGGUGUUGUUUUGAUGGGUUCUGAUCUUGCUACUGUUGGGGGUAUUGUGCGAGACGAAAAUGGGGAUUGAAUUUUUGGAUAUAAUUGACAUUUGGGAAAAUACUCAGUUUUCAACGUUGAAUUAUUGAGCAUUUUGGAUGUUCUCAAUCUUAUCCAACGAAGAGGACAUGACAGGGUGAUAAUCCAAGCUAAUAGUUUGGAGAUAGUUAGAACGAUUCAAGAUAAUGCAUCGACUACUUCGAAUUUUGCUUUUAAGACAUAUACUUAGGGAACGCAACCAUGUUGUGGAUGCUUUAGCCAAAUUGGCUUUUAGAAGAAAGGAAGACUUGCAUAUUCUUUAUUUUCCUACUAGGGAGAUUCAAGUAAUCCUAGAAGCAGAUAGAGCUAAAGGUGUUUUAUUUCAAAAUAUACCCAUGUAACUAGUUGUUUAUCUUGUUCUAUUCACCAAAAAAAUAUUUGACAUGCCAGCGGUAGUAAAAAAGUAUGGAUACUUAAUUUGGGGAAAACACAACGCUAAAUAACUAAAUUGAAUAUUGAAGUCAAACUUAAGUACUUAAUUUAAAAAAACUCAAGUAUCAAAUUAAAAAAAAAAAAAACCUAAGCACCAAAUUGAUCAUUAAAGCAAAACGCAAGUACUAAAAAGAGACAAAAAAAAAUUCAAAUACCAAAAUAAAUAUAAAAACUAAAUUAAGAUACCAAACAAUACAUUAACCCUAAAAUAACUCCUCUUAAUUACUCCACAUUCAAUGGGUGAUACCAGUUUUCAAUAACAAAUCACCGGCAAAUAUUAUUUUGCUAAGUCAAGAGUUUGUUAAUAUAAGCUACAAGCCUAUUACACACAAAUUGGCCAAAUUCAACGUUAUAGAGCAAGAAAAAGAACACAACACAAUUAAGAACCACCACUGGCAAAAGAAAUCCAAUGGUCGUUGGAUACCCGACGAGCCAUGCCCUACACCGCUUCUUCAAAUAUUUCCAACCACACUAUCAACCAGGAAGCUUCCAGUGUAACAAACAAGUCAAUCAAAGAGAUAAAACCCCCCAUGACCUCUUUGAUUCAAUAAAACUCCACACAACAGCUGAGAGAUCACUCUCCUAACACAUCUCCGAGCAGGCUAAUAAGACCGGAAAUGAAAACACCAUUAUACCUGAUAUAGCUAGAAGCAGAAACAAAAGCACAAACAAUCUCCACGACCCCAUAAAAGGAAACUCACCGACAAGUCUCCUGUCACUAAAUUCAUAAAGCUAAUUCGAGAGAAAUCUAUAGACAAGUAUCCAAAUUCCAAACUGGUUUUCCAAUUACCAAUGGUUUAAGGAAACUGUAAGUUGAAACAAAAUAAAAUGGCUGUAAGUGCUCUACUUAUAGUGCUUAUAAGAUACUAUGAAACCUGUUUAACUAAUUAUAAAAUAUGAAAAAUUCUUGCACUAAUUACGAUUACAAAUAAGUUAAGUUACUUCAAUUGUUCAUGUGUCCGGCUUUCGAACAUAGAUAUGAUGAAAUGAUUCACCCUACACUCACAUGGCAAUCAAGAAACAAACAUUUUAUUACCUCACACCCUUUCUCUACUUAUAAUACAAAGUGAAACCCCUUAGAUAAUAAAUCAUCCCAAAAAAACCAAUAUAUGAAGAUUCAUGCCUCCAUAUAAACUUGGAAGAUGUCCAACCCUUGCAUUGCUAACUCUUUCCCGUCUCAUAUCAUACUAGACAAACUUGUGUUUGCCGAUGUUCAACAAGACUUUGUCACGAUUUUUGGAGAAGGCCAAGGUAUUAGCAAUGGAAAACCCAGCUGCCCAAAUAUCUACUUAGUCCAAAUUCUUUCAUUAUUCAUAUACCACCAACACUUCCCAAUCACCUAGAGUGGCGAUCACACAAAGCCAACCUCCUAUGGCAUGUACUUUCACAUGAAACCCUUCAACACAUCAACAACACAAUCUUCCUCAGACCCGACAUCGAAAGCAACAAUUAUAUUUACCGAACAAGAAAAAUAUCAAUUUUUGGUUUAUUUGUUUUGAACGUCUUGGUGCCUACAAAGCUAAAUGUUGUAUAAUAAUGCUUUUUGACAUCUUGUAUGAAUUCAUAAUCUAUCAAAUAAUUUCUCUUAAUAAAUUCCUUUUUGAAUUCGAACUCCAAAUAUCUAAAGAUGAUUUUAGCUUUUUAACUAUAUCCCAAUUUUUAUAUGGCUCCUUAUUCCUUAAUGCAUCACAACACGGCGAUUAAAAUUUUAAUUUAAUUUUCUUUUUCCUUUUCUUCCUCCUCUCUCACCCUCUUCACAUUUUUUGCUUUUUUUCUUUUCUUUUUCCUCCUCUGUCCCUGUCCCCAAUAAACUUCUCUAAUAAUAUAAUCAGCAAGUCCACAUCUCUUCUCCUGCUAUGUAGAAUGGGGUCAUGUGGUCUAUGUUGACAAAAUAUGAAAAAUCAGGAUCUUCGAACUCCAGCGAUUCUGGCACCACUUCAACAUAGCCAUAUCAUGCUGCUAUAUGGGAUAUGCUUUUGUAUCUCCCUUACUACAUUGGCUUGAUCUAUUCCCAUCUCUAGGGUGCGUUUGGUUCGCUGUAUUGGGAUUAGAGGUGUAUUAGAUUAGAGGUGUAAUAGCAAAUCAACUGUUUGGUUGAAUGUAAUGGAAUAGAGGCGUAAUAGUAAUCUUGUGUUUGGUUGAAUGGAAUAGAGGUGUAAUAGCAUAAUGGAAAAUACUAAAAUGACUAGAAUACCCUUAGCAUAAAUUUGUUUUGGUAAAUGAUUAUUAUUAUUGUUAUUUAAAUUUUAAUAAGAUUAUUAUUAUCAGUAAUAAAUAUUUUAAUCAUAAUUAAACAUAAUUAUUAUUAAAUAUAUUUUAAUUAAAAUAUAUAAUUUAAUAAAAUUCUUAUAAUUAGCAGAAAUUUGUUUUGAUAAAUUAUUAUUGUUAUUGUUAUUUAAAUUUUAAUAAGAUUAUAAUAUCAAUAAUAAAUAAUUUAACCAUAUUUAAACAUAAUUAUUAUUAAAUAUAUUUUAAUUAAAAUAUAUAAUUUAAUAAAAUUCUUAAUAAUUAAUAUUCUUAUAUAAAUUUACUCAAAUCAUAAUAUAUGAUACUGUAAAAUAUAAAUUAACAUAAUUAUUAUUAAAUAUAUUUUAAUUAAAAUAUAUAAUUUAAUAAAAUUCUUAAUAAUUAAUAUUCUUAUAUGAAUUUACUCAAAUCAUAAUAUAUGAUACUGUAAAAUAUAAAUUAACAUAAUUAUUAUUAAAUAUAUUUUAAUUAAAAUAUAUAAUUUAAUAAAAUUCUUAAUAAUUAAUAUUCUUAUAUGAAUUUACUCAAAUCAUAAUAUAUGAUACUAUAAAUGAAAAUUUGAAAUAAUUAAUAUUAAAUAUAUUUUAAUUAUAAUAUAUGAUUUAAAAUAAUUUAAAAUAAUUAUAACUAAUAAAUUAUAUUUUAUGAAUUUGUAUAAUCUAAAAUAAUAAUUAUUACAUAUAAUUUAAUAAUUAAUAUUAAAUUUCAUAAAAUACUUGAUAAUAAAUUUUCUUAUAUGAAUUUAUACAAUUUAAAAUAAUUAAUAUUAAAUAUAAUUUAAUAGUGAUAUAUAAUUUCAUAAAAUUCUCAAUAAUAAAUUGUUCUUAUAUGAAUUUACUAAAAUCAAUAUAUACCUUGAGAAUUAUAUUCUGCAUAAACAUAAUUAACUUAUAUUAAAAAAAAGUUAAAUGAAAAUAAAAUUGUACAUCAUAAUCCAUAUGUUAUAUAGUUUUACAACAUCAAAAAGUUUGAACAUUGAUUUUUAAUGGUGAGAAAGAAAUCUUCUGACCCAUUCCAAUCGGGCAAUAGAAGGUAAACUAAAGAAAACGAUCAUUUGAGUUGGAUGAUCGGGAAUUUUACUCAAAGCAUCAUACCGCUUGUAAUAGGCCAUUUUAGCCCGGGCCCAAAUGUAUAAACCUUAAAAUAGCAAAUACAAUAAACAGUCCAUUUUUACAAAUAAACCAAUCGGCCUAAUAGCUUAGCCCAAACAGCAGAAAUUGGCCCAAUUGGCCCACAAGAUGUUUUUGGCAAAUGAGGCAGAAACCCCAGGACGCGCUGCAUGACUCCCUCGCAUGCCGCUUCUCUCGCGUUCAGUAGCCUCACACGUUAUACACGUCUCCUCUAGUGUUUCUGAAACAAGUCACGAUCAGCACAUUGGGCAGUUUUUUUCACAUAGUGGCAGCAAAUAAACUAGGAACAAUACUAAGAGAAGAGAGACAGCAAAAAAAGAAGGUAGAGGGAAAAAAGGAAAAAAAAGAUUUCUGUAACUGGGUUUUUAGCAAAUUUUUGUAUUGGAAAAACUGGAAAAAUAAAUACAAGAGAGAACAAGUUUUUUAAGGUGACAGAUUUUAGUUCUUUUUUUUUCUUUUGUUUUUUUUUACUGUUUCUAUUGGAUUUUGUUUCUCUUUUUAUUUCUUAAAACAAAAACAAAAGGGAAAGGAAAAGGAGGGCUUACCGUUGCGAGAUUCGUCGGAGAGCGUCCUCAUUUCGUCGUCAUCUGGUCGGACAUGGGAGGGGACUGGAACGGCGGAGGAGAACUGCUGCGGCGCGAUUUUGAAUGGCAGAGGAGUUUUCUUUUAGGGGUUUGAAAUGGGUUUUAUUGGCUGCAAAUGAAAUGAGAUUCUAUUUAUGGGUUAUUUAUGUUUUUAAUCCUUCCAUUUUAUCCUAUCAUUUCAAAACCUUUUUUUUUGUUUUCAAAAUUUUCCAUGAAAUAUCGAAUCUGUUUUAUUUUAG
RNAcentral lists this long non-coding RNA (37584 nucleotides) under Gossypium raimondii (Peruvian cotton). Its description in RNAcentral is "long non-coding RNA (GRAI_LNC004763)". The record is from RNAcentral. Lineage: Eukaryota; Viridiplantae; Streptophyta; Magnoliopsida; Malvales; Malvaceae.